GUCGGCUCUCAGUGGUAGAGCGUUCCGUUCACAUCGGAAAGGUCACAGGUCCGAUCCCUGUAGUGCCCACU
RNAcentral lists this transfer RNA (71 nucleotides) under Candidatus Ryanbacteria bacterium RIFCSPLOWO2_01_FULL_48_26. RNAcentral's name for it is "tRNA-Val". The stretch from base 7 to 61 matches the Rfam family "tRNA", at positions 10 to 63 of the family's 71-position model. Rfam says of the family: Transfer RNA (tRNA) molecules are approximately 80 nucleotides in length. RNAcentral also lists the same sequence under 1 other name. Lineage: Bacteria; Candidatus Ryaniibacteriota. The record is from RNAcentral.